CUAGCAACCAGCCAUGCUGGAGCCCUGACUCACUUACCAGCAAAAUAACAGCAGAUUUCAUGGGCUGAGAAAGAAAGCACAUUGAAAAGAUCAGAGAAGACUUUCGAUGGCUUCCUCUUCUUGUGGAUGGAGCCCCAAUUCCUCAGCAUGGCUGAACUGUGUGUCCUGCAAUGACAGAAGUCCACAGGGGCAGAUGGUGACUGAUGGCCCCAAGGCAAGGUGGUUCAGUCAAAUCGUGAGAUGAGCAGGACUCCUAGACCUCAGGCCACCUGGGACCAGAGACUCAAGGAAGCCCUGCCUCCCCUCUCCAGGCUCUGCACAGCAGCCUCUUUCUCUGUGGGUGGAGUGGUGCCCACACGUGGCAGGGAGCUCACAGCCAGAAGAUUCCUCCUCUGGAGCAGCCUGACCUUCCUCCUUAAUCCUCCCCUGAAAACUCCCCAGGAAGGACUGGGUCCGAGUCCACCCCUGACCAGUCACCGUGACCAGAAAGGUGGAGUCCUGUGUCAGGCUGGGGGCUCCUGAGGGAUCAGGUGGCAGGAGGAAGGGGUCCAGCAUGGGGUGCUGUCCCAAGCAUCAGAAAGGGGUGCGGGCAAGCACCGUGACCCACUAAGGGGCUCACAAGGUAGCUGAGCUGCCUUCCCGGCCAGUGUUUGAAAUUAAAAGGCUAAAAAUGACUUUGUUGUCUGACCAUUGAAGUACUCGAUAAGGAAAACACGGAUAUUAAACUUAUAAAGGCAGUUAAAAAUAUUGGAAGGUGUUUCUCUUUACCAAGUUUUCAACUGAAAGCAAAUGUUAAUGAAAGACCCAUUGAAAGUGAUUUCUGGCUGUACACUAUCAAUGAAUAAUCAAAAAAUAUA
Molecule: long non-coding RNA, 857 nt
Filed under: Equus asinus (donkey)
Lineage: Eukaryota; Metazoa; Chordata; Mammalia; Perissodactyla; Equidae
Description: lncRNA (ENSEASG00005032816.1)
Source: RNAcentral